UCCUUACAAACUGGGUGCUCCGUAGGGU
RNAcentral lists this non-coding RNA (28 nucleotides) under Mus musculus (house mouse). The record is from RNAcentral. Lineage: Eukaryota; Metazoa; Chordata; Mammalia; Rodentia; Muridae.